GACGAACGCUGGCGGCGUGCUUAACACAUGCAAGUCGAACGGAAAGGCCCUGCUUUUGUGGGGUGCUCGAGUGGCGAACGGGUGAGUAACACGUGAGUAACCUGCCCUUGACUUUGGGAUAACUUCAGGAAACUGGGGCUAAUACCGGAUAGGAGCUCCUGCUGCAUGGUGGGGGUUGGAAAGUUUCGGCGGUUGGGGAUGGACUCGCGGCUUAUCAGCUUGUUGGUGGGGUAGUGGCUUACCAAGGCUUUGACGGGUAGCCGGCCUGAGAGGGUGACCGGCCACAUUGGGACUGAGAUACGGCCCAGUCGCCUACGGGAGGCAGCAGUGGGGAAUAUUGCACAAUGGGCGGAAGCCUGAUGCAGCAACGCCGCGUGCGGGAUGACGGCCUUCGGGUUGUAAACCGCUUUCGCCUGUGACGAAGCGUGAGUGACGGUAAUGGGUAAAGAAGCACCGGCUAACUACGUG
This 468-nucleotide ribosomal RNA is filed under the name uncultured bacterium. RNAcentral describes it as "partial 16S ribosomal RNA". It matches the Rfam family "Bacterial small subunit ribosomal RNA", at positions 28 to 507 of the family's 1533-position model. The record is from RNAcentral.